AGUCGAGGGGUAACAGAGAAAAGCUUGCUUUUUUGCUGACGACCGGCGCACGGGUGCGUAACGCGUAUACAAUCUGCCUUAUACAGAGGGAUAGCCUUUAGAAAUGAAGAUUAAUACCUUAUAGUCUAUAUAUAUAGCAUUAUAUAAAUAGUAAAGCUUCGGUGGUAUAAGAUGAGUAUGCGUCCUAUUAGUUAGUUGGUGAGGUAACGGCUUACCAAGACAACGAUAGGUAGGGGCCCUGAGAGGGGGAUCCCCCACACUGGUACUGAGACACGGACCAGACUCCUACGGGAGGCAGCAGUGAGGAAUAUUGGACAAUGGAGGCAACUCUGAUCCAGCCAUGCCGCGUGCAGGAAGACGGCCCUAUGGGUUGUAAACUGCUUUUAUAUAGGAAGAAACCUUUUCACGUGUGAGAAGCUGACGGUACUAUAAGAAUAAGGACCGGCUAACUCCGUGCCAGCAGCCGCGGUAAUACGGAGGGUCCGAGCGUUAUCCGGAAUCAUUGGGUUUAAAGGGUCCGUAGGCGGGAAUCUAAGUCAGUGGUGAAAUCUUGCAGCUCAACUGUAAAAUUGCCAUUGAUACUGGAUUUCUUGAAUUAGUGUGAAGUGGUUAGAAUGUGUAGUGUAGCGGUGAAAUGCAUAGAUAUUACACAGAAUACCAAUUGCGAAGGCAGAUCACUAACACCUAUAUUGACGCUGAGGGACGAAAGCGUGGGGAGCGAACAGGAUUAGAUACCCCGGUAGUCCACGCCGUAAACGAUGGAUACUAGCUGUUCCGUCUUCGGACUGAGUGGCUAAGCGAAAGUGAUAAGUAUCCCCACCUGGGGAGUACGUUCGCAAGAAUGAAACUC
This 850-nucleotide ribosomal RNA is filed under the name uncultured marine bacterium. RNAcentral's name for it is "bacterial SSU rRNA". It matches the Rfam family "Bacterial small subunit ribosomal RNA", at positions 60 to 902 of the family's 1533-position model. The record is from RNAcentral.